UGUUCUUCCUCUAGAUUGUGCUAGGUCUCUGCAGCAGGGUAUUUGGGGCCAGCUAGGUCUUGGUCUGCAGGCUGGAGGUGAGAAGUCCUGCCACCACACAGCGCUGCCAGCGUGUUCCCAUUCUGAGUCAUUCCUUUGCCUGUUUAUUUUCGGUAUUUGUUUAUUUACCAGUGAGGUGUCAGCCCAGAGCAGGUUGGCUGUGCUGAACUCCUCUGGUGGCCCAAUGGCUGCUGCCAGCUCUCUCCAAGUCCUGCUGUGUUGGGAUUGCUUCCACCCCGAGCCCAGGGAGAGAGAGGUUGGGUUGCUGUGAGAGGAAUGCCAGCACAGUCUCCCACCAGAAGCGUGCUCAGCUCCAGGUAACGAGCGUGGUACCACAGGGUAAACUUCUUCCACUCUCCCCAUGGAGCCCCUGGCUCCCAGCUCUCUCUCUGAGCCAACUGUGGGGGGUGGAGGGAGGUUAAGAGGCAUAUCCUUUGCUGUAAUUAUAUCCUGUUGCUAGAGAUAUUGUGUUCUGUAUAAAGAAAUCAUCAUAAUACAGCCUCCUGGAGAAGGUAAUUACUGUGCAUCUUAUGAAUGGCUGCAUAUGAAUGUCUGCUCAAGCUGCUGUCAGCAGCAAGUUUCAACACAUCUUACAUACCAGGCAUUUCACAGCCUUAGUUUUAUUUGUUUUCAUCACCCCUUGCCUUAUGCUUUAUAUUUCAUUAAUGGAGCUGUUUUUUUUUUUUUGUUUGGGUUGUUUAUUUGUUUAUUAUUAAAAAAAAGAAAGAAAGAAAAAGGCCAAAGUUCAUGUCUUUGAUGGAGCUUUGGGUGGUGGUGGCAGCAGCUUUUGUUUGCUGCAUUUCCAUUGCUCUGUGGUGGCUUGAGAGGAGCUCUGGAAGAUGCUGCUUCCCAGCAGUUCCCAUAUAGCAACGUACGGGUGGGUCCUUGUUUCCUAGUCUGAGCCCCCAUAAAAUGGACCGUACCACUGCUGACAAAAGUUGGUGUCACUCUAUCACUGGCAUAACCACACAGAUUUAACACUGUGAGGACAUUUAUUUUCUUGUUCUAAUCUGCCGUUUUCCCCCUUGUAUUGAAAAUGAGUUGGCACCUACUCACAAACAGAGAUGUCAGACCUUUCAGGUUUCUGAAGCUUCUCUAAAGCUCCCUCUGCCCUCAGCCUGCCUGCCACUGGCACCAGUGACCCCCAGCUUGGUUAGGCAAUCAGUAUGGAUAUGGUUUUACAACUUGGUAAUGCUGUCUGUGAAGAUGGGCAGAUACAUGAGCCAUAUCCAUUAACUUCUGCAGGAAUGUUUGAGUUAGAUAGGGGGAACACCAAUGGAGAGCUGGUUUGUCAUGAUAGGAGUCACCAGGCUGCUGUUCUUUUCCCUAAGGUCACUAAUAUUUACCUUUCCCCAGCAGUGUGGAAGGUAAUCUGUCUUUGUGUUGCGCAUAUGGAGCCGCAGGGUGUAAUCACAGCACCCUGCAUGGCUAUGAAAACAUCGUGUCCACCUCCUGGCCGGCUUAAGCAAAGAUUUGAAACUGCUGCUUGGAUUGCUUCCUUGUGCAAAUGGCUGGGGCUUCCUCUUGCAAUGCUGAAGCUGAGUUGUUUCGGUACUCUCAAAGACUUGUUGUGCUUGUGGACAGGCUUCUGUGUGCACUGAGCAUUGCAUCCAGAGGUGGCUCCUUCCCAGUGCCAUGCAGAGCAUUGAAUCUGUCUCUCUCCGUGAUUCCUGGUGAAGCCUGAAAGGCAGCCCGGCUCCUGCAGGACGGAAGCAUGGCUGUCUGCUGAACUCCCCAUAUCUACAGAUGGAAGAGCUAUUGAGUGGUUAUAGCUGAAAGCCUUGCCUAUCUAAGGAAAUGUCAGCAACAUAUUGAAGUAGGAGAAGGAACAAGGCCUACAGGUCCCCCGGAAUUGUGUGAAGGAAGGACUACUGCUCCAUUGGAACCUGUGGUCUAUGUAUGUCCCCAGCAAGACCUUCACAGAACAUCAGGCAAGGGAUUGUACUGGAAGUUUCAGCAGUGUCUGCCAGUUAUAAGUCAAUGGGUGCCCUGAAGGAAAGAUUUGGUCUUCUUUGCCUGAGCUUGCCCUGCAAAAGGCUAUCGGUACAGCUCACCUGUUCAUGAAGUACCAGAUAGACCCAUCGGAAUCAGAGCAAUCUCUAGUUCCUGAGCUCUGCUUCAGUUUUGCUGGUGAAGCUCAAGUCUGAGGCUGUGCUCUGACCAAUCUCUCCUUCCUUUACUGUAAAGACACGGUGAAAUGGUAAUCCCUUUCUGAAGGAGGAAACAGGAUGUUCCUCUCCCUUGGCCUGGCAGCACUGGCCAGCUGUGCACAGCUGCACACCAGCCCAGAAGCAGAAAGUUCAAGUUCACCCUUCCUAAGCAAGGAUCUAUGCCUUGGGCUCAAGCCAAGCUGGCAACCACCAACAGAGAGAAGCAGCACAAAGCAUAGCAGACCCUGCAUAUAGGACCCACGUUUGCACCAUUGCCAUUGCUCCACCACUGAGCUAGAGAGGCUUUCAUGCACACAAAACUUAAGGACUGUAUUUUGGGCAUGUCUUUGGAAAGGCUUCUAAUCGUUGAAAAGUUCUUCACUUAAAUUCAUCAUCAUCAUCAUCACCGAAUGAGUGACAGGGAUUUAAACCUUAAUAUUGUGUGGUGAUGUGCUGACUGGGAUCUGCAACCUGCUCCCUGUGUCCACAUGGGGUAUGAGGAAUGCCAAGCAGUGCCCACUGUGGUUGCAUACGUCUGUCUGGGCAGAAGAGGGGUGUGUAAAGAAGAUGGUCUGAACUUCAGGAUUGCCCACCUGCUCCUGGGGGUUUGUCUGGAGGACUCAGAUCCUUCCUCCCACUCACCUGUGCAGUAACUGGGUUCUCUUGGUGAAGAUCCACUCCCUUUUUCACAACAGGAUGUAUGAACAGUUUGCAAAAUUUGGAGAAGAAAAAUGGCUGCAGCUCCCUUCAUUGAACUAACUAGUGGGAGGAAGGAAAGAAAAGCCCUGCAGUUAAUUGAAUUAACGAAUUGAAAAGGAAAAUCUCCAGGACACCCCUUGUGACUGGGGUUAGAAAGGCUGUGAUUUUUCCACCCAGCACUGGACAGGCUCCAGGCAAGCUCCAGGAUGAAUUCUUAAUCUGGGAUAGGAACUUUGUUGUCCUGGCUUUAAAUGGUUUAUCAGGAACACAUUCCACAACAAACUACAUCCAGAAAUUCUGGUCUUUUUUAAAGUCAUAAGCAGAACUCGGUGAAUUUUGCUUGGCAGGACCCAGAGAUGGAAAAGAAAGGGCAGAUCAGCAGAAGCAGGCUCAAUUCUCAAAGCACUGUGUUUUUCCACAGAAGAGAGGAGAGAGCAGAACUGUUGGUAGUCAUUUUUCCCUACUUCUCCAACAGAGCCAGCGGUACUGAGGAGCUGCAGCCCUGAUUAUUACUUGCAAGCAUUUAUUAAUGUGUGUAUUCAUAUAAUGAAGUAGAAUCUCUAUACCAGGUUGUAGCCCUUCCCAUUAAGCUUCUUGACUGUGCCUAUUUCUCUUGCAUUGACUCCUUCACGUAGUCCAUCAAUUCUUACAUCUGUGCUAGAGAGCAAAGUUACUCAAAGUUCGGCUACUGCUCGAUUUACCGUGCUUUAUCUGUUCUGCAGUACCCAGCUGUAUUCGUGCUCUCAGCCAGCAGCCCUUCAAGGGCAGCCUGUGCCAUGUUCAGCAGAGGGCUCAGCUGCCUGCCCUGGUCCCGGGACAACAGCCUUCCAAUGGGAACUUACCUUAAUGACACUCGAUUUACAGUGAGCCCAAAGCAGCAAAGGACUCUUUGAAAAUCUCUAGAGUGGACACUCCCAGAGCUGUCUGUAUACACUUCGAAUUAAUUAUUCCCUUCAUGGAAAUUGUACAAGAUGUCCCCUUGCUUCUUUCUGACUGCCUUCCUGCCCUUUUCUGAUAAUCCCUCUCUAUCCUCUGGGCUCUCUCUGGUCCUAAACUUAACAUAUAAAGCUAUUUUUAUCUAGGGGUUAGGGUGUGAAUAAAUUCAGAGAAUGUCUCUCAACAUGA
RNA transcript from Gallus gallus (chicken), 4013 nucleotides. RefSeq lists it as uncharacterized. The record is from RefSeq and is a predicted model, not a curated record. The transcript has 9 exons. NCBI's taxonomy places the organism in Eukaryota, Metazoa, Chordata, Aves, Galliformes, Phasianidae.